This 497-nucleotide ribosomal RNA is filed under the name uncultured bacterium. RNAcentral's name for it is "partial 16S ribosomal RNA". It matches the Rfam family "Bacterial small subunit ribosomal RNA", at positions 28 to 507 of the family's 1533-position model. The record is from RNAcentral.
GACGAACGCUGGCGGCGUGCCUAAUACAUGCAAGUAGAACGCUGAAGCGAGGAGCUUGCUCUUCUUGGAUGAGUUGCGAACGGGUGAGUAACGCGUAGGUAACCUGCCUUGUAGCGGGGGAUAACUAUUGGAAACGAUAGCUAAUACCGCAUAACAAUGGAUGACACAUGUCAUUUAUUUGAAAGGGGCAAUUGCUCCACUACAAGAUGGACCUGCGUUGUAUUAGCUAGUAGGUGAGGUAAUGGCUCACCUAGGCGACGAUACAUAGCCGACCUGAGAGGGUGAUCGGCCACACUGGGACUGAGACACGGCCCAGACUACUACGGGAGGCAGCAGUAGGGAAUCUUCGGCAAUGGGGGCAAGCCUGACCGAGCAACGCCGCGUGAGUGAAGAAGGUUUUCGGAUCGUAAAGCUCUGUUGUAAGUCAAGAACGGGUGUGAGAGUGGAAAGUUCACACUGUGACGGUAGCUUACCAGAAAGGGACGGCUAACUACGUG